AACGCGAAGAACCUUACCAGGGCUUGACAUCCCUCUGACCGCCCUAUAAAAGGAGCUUCCCUUCGGGGCAGAGGAGACAGGUGGUGCAUGGUUGUCGUCAGCUCGUGUCGUGAGAUGUUGGGUUAAGUCCCGCAACGAGCGCAACCCUUGUCAUUAGUUGCCAUCAUUCAGUUGGGCACUCUAGUGAGACUGCCGGGGAUAACUCGGAGGAAGGUGGGGAUGACGUCAAAUCAUCAUGCCCCUUAUGUUCUGGGCUACACACGUGCUACAAUGGCCGGUACAAAGAGCCGCAAUACCGCGAGGUGGAGCAAAUCUCAAAAACCGGUCCCAGUUCGGAUUGCAGGCUGCAACUCGCCUGCAUGAAGUCGGAGUUGCUAGUAAUCGCAGAUCAGAAUGCUGCGGUGAAUGCGUUCCCGGGUCUUGUACACACCG
RNAcentral lists this ribosomal RNA (432 nucleotides) under uncultured bacterium. RNAcentral's name for it is "bacterial SSU rRNA". It matches the Rfam family "Bacterial small subunit ribosomal RNA", at positions 958 to 1392 of the family's 1533-position model. The record is from RNAcentral.